GAAUAUUGCACAAUGGGCGCAAGCCUGAUGCAGCAACGCCGCGUGAGGGACGAAGGCCUUCGGGUUGUAAACCUCUUUUAGUAGGGAAGAAGCGACUGGGUUUUCCUGGGAGUGACGGUACCUGCAGAAAAAGCACCGGCUAACUACGUGCCAGCAGCCGCGGUAAUACGUAGGGUGCAAGCGUUGUCCGGAAUUAUUGGGCGUAAAGAGCUCGUAGGCGGUUUGUCGCGUCUGCUGUGAAAACCCGAGGCUCAACCUCGGGCCUGCAGUGGGUACGGGCAGACUAGAGUGCGGUAGGGGAGAUUGGAAUUCCUGGUGUAGCGGUGGAAUGCGCAGAUAUCAGGAGGAACACCAAUGGCGAAGGCAGAUCUCUGGGCCGUAACUGACGCUGAGGAGCGAAAGCAUGGGGAGCGAACAGGAUUAGAUACCCUGGUAGUCCAUGCCGUAAACGUUGGGAACUAGAUGUGGGGACCAUUCCACGGUCUCCGUGUCGCAGCUAACGCAUUAAGUUCCCCGCCUGGGGAGUACGGCCGCAAGGCUAAAACUCAAAGGAAUUGACGUGGGCCCGCACAAGCGGCGGAGCAUGCGGAUUAAUUCGAUGCAACGCGAAGAACCUUACCAAGGCUUGACAUAUACCGGAAACGGCUGGAAACAGUCGCCCCGCAAGGUCGGUAUACAGGUGGUGCAUGGUUGUCGUCAGCUCGUGUCGUGAGAUGUUGGGUUAAGUCCCGCAACGAGCGCAACCCUCGUCCUAUGUUGCCAGCACGUAAUGGUGGGAACUCAUGGGAUACUGCCGGGGUCAACUCGGAGGAAGGUGGGGAUGACGUCAAAUCAUCAUGCCCCUUAUGUCUUGGGCUUCACGCAUGCUACAAUGGCCGGUACAAAGGGCUGCGAUACCGCAAGGUGGAGCGAAUCCCAAAGAGCCGGUCUCAGUUCGGAUUGAGGUCUGCAACUCGACCUCAUGAAGUCGGAGUCGCUAGUAAUCGCAGAUCAGCAACGCUGCGGUGAAUACGUUCCCGGGCCUUGUACACACCGCC
This 1037-nucleotide ribosomal RNA is filed under the name uncultured Cryobacterium sp. RNAcentral's name for it is "bacterial SSU rRNA". It matches the Rfam family "Bacterial small subunit ribosomal RNA", at positions 359 to 1394 of the family's 1533-position model. Lineage: Bacteria; Bacillati; Actinomycetota; Actinomycetes; Micrococcales; Microbacteriaceae. The record is from RNAcentral.